Long non-coding RNA from Aquila chrysaetos chrysaetos, 10912 nucleotides. RefSeq lists it as uncharacterized. The transcript has 2 exons. The record is from RefSeq and is a predicted model, not a curated record. NCBI's taxonomy places the organism in Eukaryota, Metazoa, Chordata, Aves, Accipitriformes, Accipitridae.
CUUGAUGUAUUGUUGUAUUUUGAGGCACAGAACCAAAAUAGUGCAAAUCUGUUUUCUGAUUUCACUGGGCUUGGCACUGGUGCCUGGAUAUUUACAUCUUAAUUUCUUCCACUCAGAUGUGGGAUUUAGUUUGAGUGUUUGUGAAAGCUACCCAUCUGACAGUCCUGCAGACGAAAGCCUUCCAAUUAUUCACCUGUUAAGUACAAAGUUCAAGUUUCCCUUCCAAUUAAAGUACCUCUACCCGUGCUGGCCAGACCACCUCGAGGGAGGAAUCAUUUAGAUUCCAACCACACGCUUUCCCCUGCCUCGCUUUUGCGAAUGCCAGCAAGAAGCCAAUUCAUGCCAGCUGUUGCAUAUUUCUAAUGGGCACACUUGUCUAUAGGGAAUAAAGUGAUCGGAUAACUUCUAGAAGAUAACAAUUUCAGGUUACUACCAGUCGGGGCUGGACUCGAACUGAUACCCCAAAAGGAAAUUACUCUCUCCCACUACCAGUCCAGAUACGCUUUGGAGUUGCUGUGGGGCUCCGAGAAGUAUCUUAAUGGAAAUGGAUCUAUUUUUAAAAUAUAUCCGUUAACAAUUAAGUGGAUUAUCCAAAUUUCAGGCUGUAUUAACUGCACUGAGAUGUGGUUUAUACUUAAUAGGUAAGGAAAGUAGCUCAUAUUAUAAAUGCAGUACAUGUAUAUUAUACCUGGUGCACGUUUAUCGAAACAGUGUCAGGUUUUGAAACAGCUUACAUUAACUCUGCAUCUGUGCUGUGAAUCCAGAAAGAAGUUGAGGUUUGCUCAGCUAAAUCCUUUUUCAUGGUGUUGGCAGCUGAGAGGGAGUUUGUCACUGAUAUGCUUACUUUUUCCCCCCUGUUUCAUAUUUCUGGAAAGGACAUAAAUGAGAAUAGAUUGAUUCUAAAGUAACAGAAGGAGCGACGCAGAGACAAUAAUGAUGAGCAUGUUCCAGUUGGAUGCAUUAUGGGAGAAGUCCAAAACCUCCAGGUUCUCAUUUUCCCACAAGACAGCCAAUUCUGACACUUUAAUAUAUAGGCAUGGAUGUGUCAGAGGGGGAGCAAGGAGGCAUUUUGUUCCUAUCUGUUGUUGCAGCUCGAUGGCUUUGGUACCACACACACUACUGGCACCGUGCUGUAGCAGCUGAAGGAAGAGCCUCGCUGUUUUGGGGAGAAGGUAAAGAGGGAUCUGGUGUAUUCCCCAGAAGUUGUGUUGAGCCUCCCAUCUGUGCUGGUGCCACUGGUUUGGGAUGGAAAGGAGCUUCGGUAGGACUUCAGCAUGCUGUAUGUGGCACACUUGGUCCUUGGCGUGUGACCCACAGAGGGGGCUGAGCCUCACCAUUUUUGUUACAGGGGCAUACGUUUCUGAAUUAGGCUAUUGAUUUCUCUAGUGGUUUCUACUACUUUGAGUGCCCCGAAAAGCCACUAUAAACUUUUUUGCUGGUAGAGAAAGUAUGAGUGCAGCUAGCGUGGGCUUUGGAAAAAGGUAGCAAAGGCAACUGGGGCAAAUGCUCUCAGGGGCAAUGGGGAUGCAUGUGCUAUGUAGCUGAAGCCUUGGCAACAGCUGGCAAUUGCUGCCAAUGGCGUCAUAUAUAUAUUGACUCAUCUGCAAGUUCAGUCCAGACGGCCACGUGGAACAAGAGACCUUAUCCUAUUGAAUCUGAACCGUGAGCCUGGAAAAGAACUCACGGUCGAUGAGACAGAAAAGCAAAAUGCCUAUAUGCCUUUCCCUGCUUCAGUCUCCUACCUUCCUCAGCUGUUUGGGGUGGGUUUUAUUUACUUCUUGUGGUGUGUUUUGAAAGGACUGGUCAAAAUCCUCCAAUUUUUACUUUGGUGGUUUUUUUUUCUUCCACAUCUUGUUCCUUUUCUGUCAUUUCUCCUGUCUAAAAUAACCAGCCUUAAGCCCUUGAAAAAAUAAAUUCCAGCUCCUCUUGACAAACAACCCCCUGUUCUGCUUUGCCAGGUGACUGAUUGAUUAGUUACCGGUACCCUUGGCCAGGCUGACUCUUCUGCAGAGCUGCCAGUUACUUCAUCCAGUGGUGCUUCCACGUGAAUGAGUGAUCACCAGGGACUCGCAGCCUUCUCCUGCUAGCCCUGUAUCACUUUCUACUUCUACAUAGAUGAAGAUACCCAGAUAGACAAAACCUUCAAUCAAUUUACUGUUUGGAGUCUGACACACACAGCGAGAGUCUGCAGUAUUAAAGAGAACUCACAAGAGUUGAAACAGAUCAUUACAGGACUAGUUAUUUGCACUUGGCUAGCACAUACUAAGUUGUUCUUAUAUGCAAGUGUCUCAGCUGGAAUCCAUCUAUUUUCUUCUCAUGUUAAGGCCUCUGGGUUUAUUAUAGUGGUAUUUUAGCCUACUAGUAGACUGAAAGCAGUAUGAGACAUAUUCAUCACAUGCAGGAGGGAAAUUCUGUACAUUGUAAGGAUGAUGCCAGCUUUUUUCUUCCUAGCAGGCAGGAAGCACUAGACUAACCAAUUCCCUGGUCUGCAGUGAUUUUCUGAGAAUUUUGAAUUUUAAGCUUCAAACUUUAGACUAACAGCUCAGGUCAAAAAACUGACUAAUUCCCAGCUGUAUCCCAAGACUGGUCUUUGAUAUGUGGGAGGGAAAUUUUCACUGUGGAAAUCUUUUUUUCUCUGUUUUGUUAGGUAGUUGCACUAUGGGCUAGACAGAGAAGAAACAGGGUCUUUUGCUCCUUGCCCUUUCCUGGGAGGUGCAUUGGGAAGUUCAGGCAACUAUUUAAAUCAAGUGAAUUUUGCUUGAAAGCCUAGUCCCAGAUGAGUUGUUCCCACACAAGAAGGGAAACGAGACAAGAAAUAAAAAGAACCUGGCUUUGAAGAAUUUCUAGUCCCUACCCUGCUUCCGUAGAGUUUGCCAGGAGGGCAACAUACAAGAUGAAGCCUAGACAAGAACUCAGCUAUAUCUUGCCCCAGGGACUGUACCUCUGAGCGGUGCUUUGACACUCUUUCCAUUUAGCUUUCCUUUUUUAACCUGGAAGAACCCUACAGAUCAAGGCAAAUAUCUUAGAUGGAGAAACAGACCAAUCUGUAGCAUGCAGAUCCACAGGAAAUAGCCCAGAAAACGUUAUGAGGUUAUGUUAAGAUAUUUGCAGCUAGACUAGACAACCUGUUAAUAGACUAGGGGGGUGUUGUUUGGGGCAGGCAUUUCCAAACAUGCUUAGAAGAUUGAGAAGCUUUGGGUGGUCAUCCUAAAUCAUUUCAUGGACUAUUACAUUCCGUUGACCAGUUUAGCAUUUCUGGCUUCUGUCACAGUGCCAUUUAUAUCCACCUACAUCCACCAUGACCCUCAAAGCAGGUGGCAACUCACUAAAAAAAAUCAGCAGGCAGUAUGGGACCCUUUGGUUUAUGAUUUAUACAUUUCCAGCUCAGCUUCUAAUUUUGCAAAAGAAGGCUUCUCGGCAUGCAUCUGUAAGAGAUUAUUCGUGUAUGCCUCUCAAAAAUAACUGUUCAUAGUUUUCCUUGUUUGUCAGGAAUUCUUCUUUUAUUCUCAGCAAGGAGCCUCCUGUUACGUGGAUGAUGUGCAGAUGGUCAUUCUUUCACCUUUAGAUCUUGUGGUGGACAGAUUUGGGUUACAACAGAGAAACCUAAUGGAAAGUGAAAGCUGCGCAGAGUCAUUAGAAAAGCCAGCUUAAAUCUUGAUUCCUGCCAGACAUAUGCAACUGAAGGUCAGGUACUGCAAUUUUUAAUUUUACAACUAUAAACACUGAGUUUGGAAAAGGAUAACUCAUUUAUUUUUUCUUUUGUUAAAGCAUGGGUACAUAUAUUCAUGACACUAAACCACUUGCAUUAUUAAAGCAUUUGAAUGAACUUGAAUAAAUUGCUAACCUGAAAAGGCUAUAAUUAUUUUUGCCCAGGCAUGAAUAAAUAACUUUUUUGCAGGAUCUGUAAGCUUAGAUGGUCCAUUUGCCCUUGUGUACUUGUAAACUCAUAUACCAGUUGAGUCACCUGGAUCAAAGCCAUGUUUUAAUACGACAUAGAAGAAACAAAGUAUAUUUGCUGUCAGCUUUCUCGACAGGAACUACAAAAAUAAUCAUAAUGGAUUUUACUUCUUUGAAAAAAAAAAAAAGCUGACCCUUCAUUUGCUUGGACAUACCAAAAUGGUUGUUAACCAUCUUCAGUGACCUUUCUCUUAGCUGACAGUUGGUUUGUGACAGAUGAAGCUGAGUAAUCAGCCGACUGUGGUAAAAACCAAAGCCAUGUACCUGAGGCAGUCUGGUUUUGAACUAUCAUUUGUGAUACAUGUGGAUUUGUUAUGAAAGCUUCAGCAUUCUGAAUAGUUUUGUCUUUCUGUCUAGACAUUGAAAAAUUGUUCAAGCUUGUUUCUUCACAGGAAAUGUAUAUUUAAUUUUUUAAUUUACAGAGCUGGAUUUAAUAGCAUUCUUGUUUCCUAUUUUCGUAUAAACUUUUCUUUUCCCUGGUAGCUUUGGGAAUUCCAAAUAUCUCCAGUGUUAAACAUUUCCCUUAGAAUGAGUAGUAGCAGACUAACAUUUGAAGGAACUGACACUAAAAAAGUCUGACUUUCAUCUGAGAUGGUGUCUUUGUUGCUGAAACAGAGAGAGACAAGAAACAUCAGUUGAAACAUGGGAAAUUAUGGUUAGAUGCUAGGAACAAAAAAUCCACAGUGAGGGUGAUCAAACACUGGAACAGCUGGUCCAGAGAUGUUACAUGAUCUCCACCCUUGGAGAUAUUCAAAACUCAACAGCACAUGGCCCUGAGUAUGUUGAUGUAAGUUGUCCCUGCUUUUGGAGCAGUAGCAGGAGCUGAACUAGGUGACCUCUAGAAGUCCCUUCCAACUUGAGUUAUUCUAUAAUUCAGAGCCUGCCACAUGAAAGAUGACAGCAAAGUAUUGUCUACAAUCAUUGUUGGUUCUCAGAUUUUAGAUUCAAGAUACAAUUAUUUUUGCUGGGAUAUAGAUUGUCUUGAAUUCUAUAGCAAAAAGAUUCUGAAUAUUCAUGCCACCACUUCUAUGUCACAGACCUACAACCAUGUGUUCCUUGCAAAACUGUUCUUCAUUGAGCGGGUUCUUUUUCUAGCAGGAACAAUCCUGACUAAGUUUGUGAGUUUUGUCUUGGUGGAAUAUUAGGAUUAGAUUGUGUCUGCAAACAGAACAGAGAGGUGAAAUAUUCUCCCUUAAGUUUCUUCUGAAUGCUUAAUCGGAAGUAUAUUUCAUAUAAAAUGUAUAUAUAUAUAAUGUAUGAAAUUGAAUUACUGUUAGUUACUGUUAACUAAUUUGAAAAUUAGGGGGGCUAUGGAAAUUAAAGCAAUGGUAACGGGUGACUGUUCAUGCCUUCCUGUGACACACAGUGAAAGAAUCGAAAGUGGUCUGGGGGAGUUCAGAUGUGCUUACCAUAUUAUGCAACUGGUGGGUGAUGCCUACUGCAGGCAAUAGUGAAAAUGCCUCAGCAAUUGAACAAGCAAGCAUAGAUAAAAACCUCAUUUGAAGCAUACAUUCUUUUAUUUUCAUUUUUUUUCCUUCUCUGCUGUCUUUUAAAGUUGUUGUGCUCAGCAUGUUGGAAACAUUCAAUUUGGUUUUACCUUACUUGGCUAAGGAAAUCAUUAAGGAUGGUACGGGAUGGAGGAAUGAGAAACAUACCCGUCGAUAUUUAGCUGCUCUCCCAGUUUUACCUGGUUAACAAAGUUCCCUUUAGAACAGGCAGAAUGAAGAAAAAGCAUGAACUCUGUGUGACUGUAUUGGCAAAGAGUUGUUUUUGCUAUAAUCUGCCUUCCUUUCCGACCAUACAUUCUAUUAAGCAAAAAGUUAUAGAUAAGACAGUAACUGGAGGCCUCCUCAUCCAUGGUUUAAUGGUACUAAAGAUAAAGACUUCCCACCUUCCCACACAUUGUUUAAAAGAAGACACAGACUUGCGGGAGCUUCUGAGAAAAGAAGAAAAUAAAAGAAUUUCAUAUUCUGGGCAGCAGCACCACACAUAUUGUUACCAGUUUAACCAGUUUCAGGAAUGCCUACAGAGAAUGGAUUAGUAGACCAAAUAUACAUGAUAACUAAUGACUGCAAUCAUUCUUUCAUGAGGGUCAGCACUAUCACAGACAAAUGAAAGAGAACUAGUCCUAAUGCAUGGAAAUCCUCCACAGCAAGAAGAAAUCCAGCUUGCUAGGACUGUCGUAUUUCCAAUAGGCAAAAGUGGUGGAGUGGAAAGGUCAGGACAUGGUAGUUCUGUGCAGUGGCAAGCUAUGACUCUUGUCUCCCAUUUACACUUGCUGAGAUCUUUCCCAUUCAGGGAUGAGAUGCAGGAGCCUGUUAUAGCAAAGACACUUGUCCUGACCUUAUCCAUACAGCAUAACAUGGAAGAAAAAGAGAAUUUUAGGCAGCCUGGAUCAUCAGAAAACCGUGCCUUUCCUGGGGGUAAGUCAAUAAUCUGUGAGUUACCCCUCCAUCCAGAUUUGACUGUUAGUGAGAAAGAGAUGACGUGGCAGAAUAACAUUUUCUACACUACUUAUCACAUAAAUCAAAUUCUGUCCAGUGCUUAUCUAAACCAAUGACUAACAUUGGCCAUCACAAAAAUCAGUUGAUUGGAGAAGAGUAGCAUUGUACUACGCCUUAUUGUCUCCAACUUCUUGCCUUCCUCCUUUCUUUUCUAACCCAACACUGCUACUUCUCAGCUCUUUCCCAUGGUGCAAACAAAGAGUAGGAUUUGUUUGUUAGCUCAGACUUGCACUUUUUUCAUCUGACUUGUGCCUUAGCAGUGAGAUCUGUCACAGUGGUUGGGAAGGACCAAACUAAUGAAAAAUUCAAAAAUAAGGACAUAGGUAUUAUAAUUUGUCUUGGAUAGCUGUAGUUCUUCCACCAGGUGAGUGUGCUGCAAUCCCAUUGAAAGCAUGUAAAGAUGAUGCAGCAUAAAGAUGAUUUGCUCCUACAUACCUGAGAACUUCCAAGUCUUCUCUGGUCAUCUUCUGAUCUUUUUGAAUCCACCUGGAAGGUGCUGGAAAGGUUGGAAGAUGCUGAAGAUCAGGACUUGGCCAUUUCCACUCAUAUUUCUUCUUAGCAAUGGAAAGACUGUGCAAAAGUAUCACUGUGAAGUGAUGAUGCAAAAUGAGGCACAGAGCAAGUAUCCCACAUAUCACAACAGUGCCAGUAUAUAACCCAUUACUAGUCUACUUUGGAAACAACUCCUGAUUUUUUCCUAUUGUAGACUUAACAGAGUUCCUAAUUUAAGAAAUUUGACUUAAAUUAUGCUGGUAAUAGAAGCUAUUUCAUUUAGGGACAAAAUCAAGAGAUGAGCUAGCAGGCUCCUGCAGCUCCUGGGCUAACAUCUCUGGUUCUGUCUGCAGUUUUGAUAGCAAGCUAAAAUACUGACUGCAGUGGGUCUGUGAACCUUGUUAUUCAAAAGUGAAUAUGAAUACAUUUUCCAGUUUUGUUACUUUUUAGUUUUUUAAAAUUUUGUAUAUGUUCAAGGUUAAGUUUACUUUAUACUGUUUAGUACUAGCAAUAGUUUACUGUUUGUAAUUUAUAAAAAAAUGCAAUUCCUUGUUUAUUUUUUCUGACUCUCAUCUAUCUUCUGGCUGAGCUCCUGUGUUUCUUGCUUUUCAUUAUAUGACUCAGUCUUCCAAAGGCAAUUGUUCCACUAGGAAGAUAAGGUGAAAAGGCAACUGAAAUAAUACAAUGUGUCAUCAAAAUAAAAUGGGGUGCAAUUUUAGUUUAUUGUUACUGAGGGAAUUCCAUUUCAGUAUCUUUCCCUCUGUGCCCAAAAGUAAGAUAAACUAGUGAGCACUGAUACUUCUAGUGAGAAAUUUUCAGUUAUAUAACAUACUGCCAUAUAAGUGUUGUAUAUUCAAGACAAAAGCAAAAUUUACUCCCUAUAGACAAAAGACCAUUAGCCUUAAAACUUUCAUUACUUUUAGAUUCAUGAUAUCCUGAAGAUAAAAACUUGUAUUCUUUUCCAAGAAAAAAAGCCUUGAGUCUCUAGCAAAAGAUGCACAGCUUCCUCACAGUGUUGAAAUUUAAAAAAUUGCCUCAAGGCUUUACUAUGCUUUCAGUGCCGCUAUGUAGCACUCAGUAUAUUUCUGAAAGCUUUGUAAUGGUCAAUUAACUUGGUUGAUAAACUUAGAAAAUACCAGCUUUUUGUGGAAGUGGCACUCAGUAGUAGCUACUCCCAUUACUACAGCUCUAUUCUGCACACCUGCCCGAGACCACAAUCAGGGUUUGAGGGUCUGUUCCUUUGGACUGUGAAGUUACAGGGCAGGUUAGCAGUCUUUCUGCCAAGAACUUAAUACCUGAGCUGAGAUAAGCUGAAUUAGUAAGUGUAAGAAGUCAUAGGAAACAGAAGAAGAGCAUGAGGCAAACUAAGGUGAUUUCUUCUAUCAAAUCUUUGACAAUUUCUUAGACUUUCCACAAAAUGUCUACAAAGCCAAAAGAUAACAGCAAAUUAAUUGGACCCAAGUCCAGAAAGUGUACUGUGCUUUCUGCAAUGAGAAACGUUUUCAAGACUUAGUAAUGGCUCCCCAGUUUCCUGGAGUCAAGCAGCAACAAUUCCUCACUUUCUUUUUUUUUUUUUUUUAACUGAUUGUUGUUUAAACUGGGAGUUUUAUAGAAACACAAACUGAUGGAAAAACAUAAUUUCAUGAAACACUACUCACUGGAUGGAGAGCUGGAUCUUAAAAGACUUAACAGAUGUUGCAUCAGAUGAGAAGGAAGAGAAAGAACUGUUGUCUAAGCAAAAUAAUCAAAAGGCAAAAUAAAAAUUAUGUAGCUAUCAAAGAAAAAAUACUUUAUUGUUCAUUAUUUUCACAGAGGCCAUUCCAGUCAAUCAUCAUAAAGCUUUUUCAGUACUGAAUGCUAUGUUGGCAGGUUAAAGCACUGCAAACCCUGGAUAAAUCCCUAUGCAGGACUAACUUCCAUGCUCACUACGCACUUAAGUGUCAUGACAGAGAUAAGAGCCCAGCCGAUCCCUCCCUGACCAUGGGCCCAGUUCUGUUGCAUUCAGAUCAGUAUAAAUUUGGAAUAGUUCAGUUGAAGGUAAAGAAGUUAUUUUAAAUUGAUACCAACGUAAUUCAGAGCAAGCCCUGAUUCAUAAUGGGCAGGUCAGAUAAUGUCAUGUAUUGAAUACAGACAUAAAUGCAGGGCUUCACUGAGCAGUGAAUAAAAAUGAAUAUUUAAUAGAUUGGUUAACUAACAAUUAAUUAGAUUUGUUUAAUGUUCUAUCCGUUGAUAAAUAACAUUUGCCUUGACAGCAACUGUACUGCUUGCCGUCUUGCUCUGUGCUGCUGUGAUAAUUAUUAUUUCAAAGCAAAGGUCAGUCUCUGUCCCUCAUUCAAGAGAUACCGUCCACCAUUUGGAUUGUAGAUUUUUAUCUAAAGUGUACCGAAGUCCAUUGGAAAAACUCCUGUGGCGUUCAGUGGGCUUUAGAUCAGUUUCUGAACAGGUCAGGGUUCUUGUGGAAAAUAAUAGUGUGAGACCUUGUAAUUAUGUCUGAAUAUAUAAUGCCUGUGCAUAGGGGGUAUAUUUGAAGGAAUCACAAAAUCUCAGAGUGGCUCAAGUUGGAAGAGACCUCUGGAGAUCAACUAGUCCAACCCUCCUGCUCAGAGUUGGGUCAAUUAGAGCAUGUUUCCCUAGGGCCAUGCUGGAACAUAACUCUAACUUUAUUUCUUUAGUUUUAAAUGACUGACUUUCCCAAUUUAAUGUUCUCUUACAUAAAACUCUGUACUGCAUUUUAGUCUGUAAUUAUGGGAUCAUUUGCCAAUCUUUUGUGGCCUCUUACCAAGAGAGUGGAAUCCUGUUGUGCAUUUUACAUUUAGUAUUAUAAUUUUUUUUUUCACUGAACAGGGCUUCAGGAUUUGGAGUUUUAAUGCAAUCUUGGAAAUUAUUGUAAUGUGCUAAACUAAUUUUGACCUUUUUAAGGUUCUAUAUUUUGAUUGCAAAGCACUCCACUUCUUUAACAUGAUUCAGUGAGACUGCAAUCAAUGGAUAAAAGAAUUAAACAGAACUAAUGUAAAAUGGAUAUCUUUUGGAAGGGUAGGUAGAUACCUUCAAAAAUUGUCAACAGACCUACUGGAAACGUAGCACUCUGAGCCACCUUGCUGUCAGACAUCACCGUUGAGCCUCAGCGAAUGUGGGACACUAAAUACUCAUGUAGGUUUCUAUACAGAUAAAGCUCAAUUCUUGUCCCACCAAUUUUAAUGGAGUUGUUCCCACAAAUUGUUUUGUCCUUAAGCAUUUGCAGAACUGCUCCACUGAAUCUUUUCACCAUCUUCCUGGAUGUUUAUUAGUUGACAUCCUUCAACAUCCAUGUUCUUGUGAAUCUGCUUAUUUUUUUAGGGAGCUAUAUGGCAAUUAGCUGAGAAUAAAACCAAUUAUACACAAUUGAUUGAUGUUGCCUGCAUGUACCUGAUACUGAUUGUCGAUGAGAGUUACAUUUUAAUUAAAAUUACAGCUUUUCUUAUUAUAUAUUACUAGUUGAAUCUGAAUUAGAGUAGCCUUCAUGCUGUUACUUCUUCUGGCCACUGCAAAGCCAGAAAUACAGGAAGCAUGGGGCUGGAAAGACAGCAAAUCUCCAGGGUUACUGCCAGUUUAAUGAGGGUGUUUUCCUUGGAUCAGGGAAAUGGAGGGUACAAAUCAAACUAGGAUUUUAAAGUUAGUCCUAAUCUUAAUCCUUAUCUCCCAUUUCCUUAUAAAGAGAUGGAAUGAUAUUUGUUCCAUAGUGGUAUUUUCUUUCUUCUAUUCCUUUAUUCUGAUGAGGUCCCGAAUUUGAGCACAUUGUCAAUUUUCACAAACUUUGAAGUCACUGCAAUGUUUUCUAGGAGUAAAGUAUAUACUCAUAUGCUAGAAUUAAAAAUGUAAAUUUAUAUUACUUUUUUGGUGUCUAUUAAGUAUUUUAUUGAAUGAAAAAUUAAUGUAUGUUUUCAAAAAGUAAAAUCUCAUUUAAAUUCUAAAGACCAGAA